Molecule: ribosomal RNA, 305 nt
Filed under: uncultured bacterium
Lineage: Bacteria
Description: bacterial SSU rRNA
Rfam family: Bacterial small subunit ribosomal RNA
Source: RNAcentral
UUCUCCUCCCGGACGCAGCAGUGGGGAAUAUUGGGCAAUGGGCGCAAGCCUUCCCCCUCCCCUCCUCUUUCCUUCCUCCUUCUUUCGGGUUGUAAACUUCUUUUGUCAUUUACGAAGCAAGUGACGGUACCUGACGAAUAAGCCACGGCUAACUACGUGCCAUCAGCCGCGGUAAUACUUAUUUUGCAAGCGUUAUCCGGAUUUAUUGUUUGUAAAGGGCGUGUAGGCGGGAAUGCAAGUCAGAUGUGAAAACUAUGGGCUCAACCCAUAGCCUGCAUUUUAAACUGUAUUUCUUGAGUGCUGGG